RNAcentral lists this transfer RNA (62 nucleotides) under Espanoliella jeanneli. RNAcentral describes it as "tRNA-Cys". The record is from RNAcentral. Lineage: Eukaryota; Metazoa; Arthropoda; Insecta; Coleoptera; Leiodidae.
AGCUUUAUAGUCAAGAAUGAUUUUAAAUUGCAAAUUUAAAGGUGGGGCAAUCCCUUAAGCUU